UAGGGAAUAUUCCGCAAUGGGCGAAAGCCUGACGGAGCGACGCCGCGUGCAGGAGGAAGGCCUUCGGGUUGUAAACUGCUUUUAUGUAUGACGACUUCGACGGUAGUACAUGAAUAAGGGUCUGCUAACUACGUGCCAGCAGCCGCGGUCAAACGUAGGACCCAAGCGUUAUCCGGAAUUACUGGGCGUAAAGAGUUGCGUAGGUGGCAUAGUAAGCAAACGGAGAAAGCGUGUGGCUCAACCAUACAGUUAUUGUUUGAACUGCUAAGCUAGAGUAUAGGAGAGGUAGCUGGAAUUGCUGGUGUAGGAGUGAAAUCCGUAGAUAUCAGCAGGAACACCGAUGGCGUAGGCAGGCUACUGGCCUAUUACUGACACUAAGGCACGAAAGCGUGGGGAGCGAACGGGAUUAGAUACCCGCGUAGUCC
Molecule: ribosomal RNA, 425 nt
Filed under: uncultured bacterium
Lineage: Bacteria
Description: bacterial SSU rRNA
Rfam family: Bacterial small subunit ribosomal RNA
Source: RNAcentral